RNAcentral lists this long non-coding RNA (1082 nucleotides) under Oryzias javanicus (javanese ricefish). RNAcentral's name for it is "lncRNA (ENSOJAG00000016377.1)". Lineage: Eukaryota; Metazoa; Chordata; Actinopteri; Beloniformes; Adrianichthyidae. The record is from RNAcentral.
ACUUUACCUUCUUGAGCUUCUCUGACAAACUCUGAACACAUUCAAACUGUCUCACAGAGACGGUCACUGCACCUGUCCAGGUGUGAACAGCAAGACCUUUACUCACCUGGUUUGCAAACGGACCCCCAAUGUCCGACGAUUCUGAGUCCAGAAACUGAAAAACAGAUUCGUUCAUGCAGGAUACAAUCUGCUUAUCAUUUAAUGCACAGUCACGUGUAACCUUUGACCUAAAGAAAUAAAGCGUGGUCUAACAGACUAUGAAAACAUCCAAUAAGGUUUAAAGAAAAUCCAAAAAUGAAGCCUAAUAAAAUCAAACUGUUGGAUUAUUUAAAUUUUCUGUGAGUCUGACAUUUCACAUAAUUCCUCUCUUUUAAUGUUACCAAUAGAAAACCACAUUUGAGUAACCCCUUCGUCGUGGUCUUCAUUGGAGUUCACUUACACUGUUGCUCUGGAAGGGGUUGUAGGAAGCCUUCAGCAGCAUGUUCUGCAGUUUCACAACACUCUAAGGAGAAAAACAGAAACUGGUAUUGAAAAGCAAGCUAGUUCUGUCUUUGAUCAUUAAGAGAAAUUAUGACUAAUUUGGUUGGAGUACUUUAAGCCAAAGUCAACCGCCUAAAGGAUUUCCUUAUUAUUGUCAGAAGUAAACCUGAUUAUUUGAAUUCCGGUUGUCUGAAUCAUGAUUCAUUUUAGUGCCAAUAAAUCAACAUAUUUGAAUUUUAUUUAAUCUUUUUAGUUUAAAUGAAAAUGAAAGCUGGUUAGGAACUUCAAAAUGAUCUCACACAAAUGGUUGAAUAUUUUUGGAUGAAUAAAACCCCUAAAUGGGCAUAUUAAUUGAAUUGGGUUCAGUUAGAGAUGAGAUUGUUUGCACACACUCACAGGUCUCCUUUCUGUGGAUUCCACGUCUGCUCUUCCAUCCACGUCUCCCUCAGCCGCCUCUCCCUUCAUCUUGCACCAGAUUACAGAAGAUCAAUUCACUUUAGUGGGAAUAAUCCAGAUUAUUGGUCAGACUGUGCGCGCUCGGGAGGUGCACACCUUUCUGAUGAACCACCUGUGGCUCUCACCUGUGUCAAGGUGCACACGCC